RNA transcript from Prinia subflava (tawny-flanked prinia), 2092 nucleotides. It is a transcript of the gene named methyl-CpG-binding domain protein 2-like, with no coding region annotated. The transcript has 4 exons. NCBI's taxonomy places the organism in Eukaryota, Metazoa, Chordata, Aves, Passeriformes, Cisticolidae. The record is from RefSeq and is a predicted model, not a curated record.
UUUAGGCUGGGACUGAAAUUGGGGUUCAUGGGCACCCUACAAACGCUGCGCAUGCGCGGUGGCCGCUACGCCCUCAGUGCUGCCGCCUUGUGGGCACAGCCGGGGCUGCAGCUGCGAGCGCUGCGGGCGCUUCCCGCGGCUCCGCCGGCACCGGGACCGGGACACGGAGCUGGACCGGGACAGCGACGGGGACGGGCCGGGCGGGGCCGCGGGGCCCUCGGCCGGGGCCGCUCCCGGUUGUGCUCCCGGCAGGACCCGCGGCCGCUGUGCCGGGAGCGCAGGCGCGGAGCGGGAGCGGCAAUGGCGGAGCCCGGGGAGCGGCGGGGCCGGGCCGGGGACAGCGGGGGAGACUGCGGCGGGCUCGGAGGGGGAGGAGGCAGCCGUGCCCAGGAGGAAGAGGAGGAGGAGUGGGAGGAUGGAGACAGCGGCCACCAAAGGCUGGGGGAGGCACAGCUCCAGGCUCUAGAUGAAGUCCCUCCUUUCCCAAGAAAGGGGAAACCCAGCAGGAUGUGAACCAGAGGAGGUGCUUUAGGAAAGGCCCUCCAGCCUGGGAAGGAGCUUUUGGCUCCGGACACAUUCCCAGUCCCCAGGAGCAGCAGGACCUGGGCUGUUCCCAGCAGAAUCCUCUAAGGCUGAAACAAAGACAAGGAACCUUUUGAGAUGGAAAGAGCCAGAGCAAGUUGUUUUGGGAAAGGAAAAUUAAAGAUGGUAAGUGCUAACACCUUUAUUCUUCCCUUGUCCUGAGGGAAUUCUGUACUCAGGAAUGGGUCAGGUCUGGAAAUUUCCUGGAGACACUGGAGAAUUAUCCCUGGUCUGCUGAAAAGUGGGAAAUCCCACUGGCAAUUGCAGCCCCUGAGGGAGGGCAAAAAGAGCAGGACCUCAGUCUGGGAGUGUGUGAGAAAUAAGGGAGGGACAAAUGUGUGGCUCAUCCCGUGCCCCAGAGCCCCAGGAAAAGGCCUUGGCUGAAGAACUGAAGUGUUGCUGCUCCACAGGGAGCCUCUGCCCAGGCCCUGGGAAUUGGGCUCAUCCCAGCUCCCUUCAGAGCAGGAGGAGCACCCACAGCCUGUGUGAGCCAUUCCUGGCUGGAGCUGGGGCCCGCUGGGCUCUUUCCCGUUUUCCUGCAGGCUGUGGCCGUGGCAGGGAAUUGGCUCCAGCAGGGCCAGGUCACAGCGGGGUCUGUGGCAGGGACAACUCCCAGAGCUGACAGGGAAGGGCCCUUCAGCCAUAUCCCGAAAAGCUGAGCAGGGAAAACACCUGCCUGCAGUCCUGGAGUCCUGGAGCUCUGGGGUUUCUGCACACCCAGGGACAUGGGAUAAUGCCAGAAUCACUCAAACCUUGGGAAGAAUGGAGUUAAUGCCACCCCUGGAGGCUGCUGGAGGCUGUUCUGGGCAGGCUCCUGCCCACCUCCACUGGGUGCAGAUGGCUGUGGAAGUGACAGAGGCAUUCAGGGAAUGCUGGUUGUGUUUCCCUCACUUUGGCAAUCUGGUCAGUAAAAAUACUAAGUGAGCUCCUCCAGCAGGGAAACGUUUAAGCAAGAGGUGCUUAACGUUGGAGAAAUGGAGUUUCUGAUUUUAAGUCUCCAACUUAAAAUCCCCUUUGGAUUGCCACUGGUCCAGUUUUCAUGGACUGGUCACCUUGGCCAGGAGUGUCCAGUCCUGCUGGAAAUGCACUGCACCAGGAUGGCAUUUUCAUCUCGUGCUGGUGAAGACCCUCUGGGUGACCCCCAGGCACUGGGAGGACUGGCCUGGGCUCCCAGGGCACUAAUUCCAGGAGUUGUGUUUUUGGGAAUAGCACAGGAGCCUUUCCCUUGCCCAGAGGUGCAGCCAGUGCUUCCCUUAGACCACAAAUCUCCAGGAUGCAACACAAAGAAAAUAACAGGAGUAUGGAAAUCCCCCACACUGGGAGUUUGUGGUGCUCUGGAUUACAUUUUGGAUUUAUAAUGUUAAAGAAGGGGUGUGGAGGGGUUUUCCUCUCUCUCCUGUUCAUUAUUGUACUUACUGCUCUUGUUGCUCCUACUGUUACUAUGUGUUGUCAUUAAUAUCAAAUUACUUUAUUUGCCUUGGGUUUCCAUUAUUAAACUGUUCUGAUCUCA